RNAcentral lists this ribosomal RNA (591 nucleotides) under uncultured fungus. RNAcentral's name for it is "eukaryotic LSU rRNA". It matches the Rfam family "Eukaryotic large subunit ribosomal RNA", at positions 40 to 647 of the family's 3401-position model. The record is from RNAcentral. Lineage: Eukaryota; Fungi.
AUAUCAAUAAGCGGAGGAAAAGAAACCAACAGGGAUUGCCUCAGUAACGGCGAGUGAAGCGGCAACAGCUCAAAUUUGAAAUCUGGCUCCUCCGGGGUCCGAGUUGUAAUUUGUAGAAGAUGCUUCGGGUGUGGCUCCGGUCUAAGUUCCUUGGAACAGGACGUCAUAGAGGGUGAGAAUCCCGUAUGUGACUGGCAGCCUUCGCCCAUGUGAAGCUCCUUCGACGAGUCGAGUUGUUUGGGAAUGCAGCUCAAAAUGGGUGGUAAAUUUCAUCUAAAGCUAAAUAUUGGCCAGAGACCGAUAGCGCACAAGUAGAGUGAUCGAAAGAUGAAAAGCACUUUGGAAAGAGAGUUAAACAGUACGUGAAAUUGUUGAAAGGGAAGCGCUUGCAACCAGACUUGCGCGCGGCCGAUCAUCCGGGGUUCUCCCCGGUGCACUCGACCGCGCUCAGGCCAGCAUCGGUUUGGGCGGCUGGAUAAAGGCCCUGGGAAUGUGGCUCCCUUCGGGGAGUGUUAUAGCCCUCUGCGGAAUACCCCCGUGGCGACCGAGGUCCGCGCCCUGCAAGGACGCUGGCGUAAUGGUCAUCAGCGA